GUAAGUGGAUUUCAAACUUUGACGCC
This 26-nucleotide microRNA is filed under the name Panagrellus redivivus. Its description in RNAcentral is "prd-miR-4816-5p". Lineage: Eukaryota; Metazoa; Nematoda; Chromadorea; Rhabditida; Panagrolaimidae. The record is from miRBase by way of RNAcentral.